UUGUUAACGCGCGUACGUCAGUUUUUUCAGUUGGUACAUUUUAACAAUGUGUAUCGGGUUUUAGUAAACAAAAAUACCCUUAUAUAUCAUGGAUUUUAAGUUUUAAAGUCAAAGGUAUUUUAAUAAUUUUUAUUCUCAAAACUAAAAAAACAAGAAACCCCUUAACCCUUACUCACCUUCCUCAUUCCUCUCAACCUUUUCUCUUUCAUAUCUCUCACUCCAACAUUUUCUCUAUCAUCCUAUAGUAGAUCCAACUAAAUGAUCAUAUACUAGAUAAGCUUCUUAGGGCUAAGGUAUUCGUCCUUGCUGGNUAAAGACCAACCAAUAGAAGAAGGUUAGCGAGCUUGGGUCGAAAGCAAAGCGUGGGAGGUUCUCGAAUUAGCAUCAGAGAAAAAAGAAACCGAAAAAGAAUCAUUAUCCCUUGCGAAAA
This 430-nucleotide long non-coding RNA is filed under the name Vigna radiata. Its description in RNAcentral is "long non-coding RNA (VRAD_LNC014759)". The record is from RNAcentral. Lineage: Eukaryota; Viridiplantae; Streptophyta; Magnoliopsida; Fabales; Fabaceae.